ACCUACGGGAGGCAGCAGUAGGGAAUCUUCCACAAUGGGCGAAAGCCUGAUGGAGCAACGCCGCGUGGGUGAAGAAGGUCUUCGGAUCGUAAAACCCUGUUGUUAGAGAAGAAAGUGCGUGAGAGUAACUGUUCACUUUUCGACGGUAUCUAACCAGAAAGCCACGGCUAACUACGUGCCAGCAGCCGCGGUAAUACGUAGGUGGCAAGCGUUAUCCGGAUUUAUUAGGCGUAAAGGGAACGCAGGCGGUCUUUUAAGGCUGAUUUGAAAGCCUUCGGCUUAACCGGAGUUGUGCCUU
RNAcentral lists this ribosomal RNA (298 nucleotides) under uncultured bacterium. RNAcentral describes it as "partial 16S ribosomal RNA". It matches the Rfam family "Bacterial small subunit ribosomal RNA", at positions 337 to 627 of the family's 1533-position model. The record is from RNAcentral.